GGGCCCGUAGCUCAGUUGGGAGAGCGAAGCGCUGGCAGCGCUUAGGUCGCAGGUUCGAUCCCUGUCGGGUCCACCA
Molecule: transfer RNA, 76 nt
Filed under: Pseudobdellovibrionaceae bacterium
Lineage: Bacteria; Pseudomonadati; Bdellovibrionota; Bdellovibrionia; Bdellovibrionales; Pseudobdellovibrionaceae
Description: Bdellovibrionaceae bacterium tRNA-Ala
Rfam family: tRNA
About the family: Transfer RNA (tRNA) molecules are approximately 80 nucleotides in length. Their secondary structure includes four short double-helical elements and three loops (D, anti-codon, and T loops).
Source: RNAcentral